RNAcentral lists this transfer RNA (65 nucleotides) under Encarsia obtusiclava. RNAcentral describes it as "tRNA-Leu". Lineage: Eukaryota; Metazoa; Arthropoda; Insecta; Hymenoptera; Aphelinidae. The record is from RNAcentral.
UCUAAUAUGGCAGAUUAGUGCAAUAGAUUUAAAUUCUAUAAAUAUAUUAUUUAAUAUUAUUAGAA